UGAGUUUGAUCAUGGUUCAGGAUGAACGCUAGCGAUAGGCCUAACACAUGCAAGUCGAGGGGCAGCGAUGGUAGCAAUACCAGUCGGCGACCGGCGGAUGGGUGAGUAACACGUAUGCAACCUGCCUUCAACAUUGGAAUAACCCGUUGAAAGACGGACUAAUGCCUUAUAACACAGGGGCGCCGCAUGGCGAUAUUUGUUAAAGAUUUUAUCGGUUGAAGAUGGGCAUGCGCAUGAUUAGUUAGUUGGUAAGGUAACAGCUUACCAAGACAACGAUCAUUAGGGGUUCUGAGAGGAAGGUCCCCCACACUGGUACUGAGACACGGACCAGACUCCUACGGGAGGCAGCAGUGAGGAAUAUUGGUCAAUGAGCGAGAGCUUGAACCAGCCACGUCGCGUGCAGGAAGAAUGUCUUAUGGAUUGUAAACUGCUUUUUCGGUAGAGUAAUGUGCGUCACGUGUGACGUAUUGCAAGUAUACCGAGAAUAAGGAUCGGCUAACUCCGUGCCAGCAGCCGCGGUAAUACGGAGGAUCCGAGCGU
This 540-nucleotide ribosomal RNA is filed under the name uncultured Proteiniphilum sp. RNAcentral describes it as "bacterial SSU rRNA". It matches the Rfam family "Bacterial small subunit ribosomal RNA", at positions 1 to 541 of the family's 1533-position model. Lineage: Bacteria; Pseudomonadati; Bacteroidota; Bacteroidia; Bacteroidales; Dysgonomonadaceae. The record is from RNAcentral.